AGUCUGCAGCCAGCCUGGGCUAUAUAUAGCAAGACUCUGACUCAAAAAAUAAAACAAACUUUGCACACAUAGAAGUCACAGGCAGAAAGCCAAAAGGAAAGCCUGUGGCCUAACCAUUGGAGAGACCUGAAGGCUGAUUGAAAGACACAGCAACAUCGUGGCUAGCGUCUUUAAGGUCUAGUGUGCUUGCUCGGGCCUGCAUGCUUGCUUGCAAUAACAUUCCUGUUUGUUAUGGGCCUUCCUGCCCUGCCGCACCUGCGUCCAACAGCUGUUCUUGGUUUUGAUGACAUUAUUGGGCUCUGCCUGUAGAACUCUUCCCUGUCCCUGAGUGUCCCGAGGCAGAGACUCUGUCCUUUGUAUAUAUGACGGGUUAACCUUCUGUCACUCUCCCUACUUACUGAAGAAGACAGCUAGUGGCCUGCCAAUCACAGGACAUCAGGUCCCAGGAUGCACAGUGCCCAGCAUCUCCUCCAGAUUCAGCUUUGACACCUCCCUGCAGAGGGCUUACUCCAAUCCCAGGACUUCCAGGUGAAUCAGAAGAAAAGAUAUAAUUCUCAUUGGCAAAGAAGAAAUAAAUGGAAGUACAGCAUCCCACAACUACCAAGACCCAGGAGCAUAAGCCCUUGGCAGUGUGAGCAGAGGGAGCCACAUCUCAGCUAGCAAGCUUGAAUAGGAUCUGCUGUAACUCUACACAGCCCAAAGUUCGCCAUGCCCUCAGGUGUUGUGUCUAUGUCGGUUCAAAGCCUACACUGCACAAAGGAGUGACCAUAAACUACUUUGGGAAGGAAGAACUGCCCAGCCAUAGCCAAACUGCUGAAAGACAAAGAGAAAGAUUG
Molecule: long non-coding RNA, 836 nt
Organism: Mesocricetus auratus (golden hamster)
Lineage: Eukaryota; Metazoa; Chordata; Mammalia; Rodentia; Cricetidae
Exons: 5
Source: RefSeq, a predicted model, not a curated record